RNAcentral lists this long non-coding RNA (538 nucleotides) under Carica papaya (papaya). RNAcentral's name for it is "long non-coding RNA (CPAP_LNC013272)". Lineage: Eukaryota; Viridiplantae; Streptophyta; Magnoliopsida; Brassicales; Caricaceae. The record is from RNAcentral.
AAAAAAGAAAAGAAAAGUGGAAUGAAACAUGAAUGGUUCGAAGUAUGUAUCUGUAUUGACAUGCAUAAUGUAUCAAGUGUCUCGUUAGCCUUUUUAUCUUAGAGGAGUAUCUGUUCCCCUAUCCCCAUCCGAGGUAUCUGUUUUCCUCCUCCCCCAUCUGGUCUAAAAAGACAUAAAAGGACUGCUCCCUAUGGAUGACAACGUACCCUCUGAAGAGAGUGGUGACGCGAAUAUCUGUUAGCGGUCACAUUUGGCUAAGUACUGUCGUGACCAUAGAAUAUUUGAUAGGACCACUAUAGUUAGUACGCCCUUGGUCAUAGAUCGUACCAUGGUUUGGUAAGCCAAAAAUAUAAUUGAGCAACUUGCCGUUAUCUGUAUCUAAUCUGGUCAUUCCACAUGGGUAGUCGGAAUUUUGUAUCUGCCUUCAGAGAUGGAAGUUGUACGACUUCCCGAAGUAUGACAUGAAAAUCUGAGCAUUUCAUUAUUUAUUUUAUUUUCUCUAUUGUUGGUAUGCUCUGUGUUUUAUUUUGAUUGUUGG